RNAcentral lists this ribosomal RNA (591 nucleotides) under uncultured fungus. RNAcentral describes it as "eukaryotic LSU rRNA". It matches the Rfam family "Eukaryotic large subunit ribosomal RNA", at positions 40 to 647 of the family's 3401-position model. Lineage: Eukaryota; Fungi. The record is from RNAcentral.
AUAUCAAUAAGCGCAGGAAAAGAAACCAACAGGGAUUACCUCAGUAACGGCGAGUGAAGCGGUAAUAGCUCAAAUUUGAAAUCUGGCCUCUUGGGGUCCGAGUUGUAAUUUGUAGAGGAUGUUUUGGGUACCGCCCCGGUCUAAAUUUCUUGGAACAGAAUGUCAAAGAGGGUGAGAAUCCCGUCUUGGACCGGCGGUAGGGCCUGUGUAAAACUCCUUCGACGAGUCGAGUUGUUUGGGAAUGCAGCUCAAAAUGGGUGGUAAAUUUCAUCUAAAGCUAAAUAUUGGCCAGAGACCGAUAGCGCACAAGUAGAGUGAUCGAAAGAUGAAAAGCACUUUGAAAAGAGAGUUAAACAGUAUGUGAAACUGUUGAAAGGGAAGCGCUUGCAACCAGACUUGAGCGCGGCGGUUCCCCCGGUCUUUUGGCCGGGCUACUCCGUCGUGUCCAGGCCAACAUCGGUUCUGAGGGUCGGUCAAAGGCCUUGGGAAUGUAUCUACCCACGGGUAGACUUAUAGACCAGGGUGUCAUGCGGCCUCUCGGGACCGAGGAACGCGCUUCGGCUCGGAUGUUGGCGUAAUGGUUGUCAGCGA